This 471-nucleotide ribosomal RNA is filed under the name uncultured bacterium. Its description in RNAcentral is "bacterial SSU rRNA". It matches the Rfam family "Bacterial small subunit ribosomal RNA", at positions 27 to 507 of the family's 1533-position model. The record is from RNAcentral.
GGACGAACGCUGGCGGCGCGCCUAACACAUGCAAGUCGAACGAGAGAUGAAGAGCUUGCUCUUCAGAUCGAGUGGCGAACGGGUGAGUAACGCGUGAGGAACCCUGCCUCAAAGAGGGGGACAACAGUUGGAAACGACUGCUAAUACCGCAUAAGCCCACAGCUCGGCAUCGAGCAGAGGGAAAAGGAGCAAUCCGCUUUGAGAUGGCCUCGCGUCUGAUUAGCUGGUUGGCGGGGUAACGGCCCACCAAGGCGACGAUCAGUAGCCGGUCUGAGAGGAUGAACGGCCACAUUGGGACUGAGAUACGGCCCAGACUCCUACGGGAGGCAGCAGUGGGGAAUAUUGGGCAAUGGGGGAAACCCUGACCCAGCAACGCCGCGUGAAGGAAGAAGGCCUUCGGGUUGUAAACUUCUUUUACCAGGGGCGAAAGAAAUGACGGUACCUGGAGAAAAAGCAACGGCUAACUACGUG